CGUCUGGGGGUCAACCAAGAAGAGUAUGGGAGAGCAGGGGCUGUGUCCUGCAGGACGUGUGGGCGUCCUUGGCACGGCGGGACGUCUAGAGUCACGGAUGAGGUCACGGGGCGUGAGCGAGGACUGAACGGAGACUGGGGCCUGCGUCCCAGGGGCCCCGGGGGGGGGGGGCGGUGCUAGGGGCCGAGGGACAGGGAGCCUCUGGGCGGAAGGAGGGCGGACCAGGGGAUCAGCGCUGCCGGAGGCACUCAGUGACUCGGAUCUCGUCCAGGAUCCCACAUGACAAUGAGCUAUUUUUCUCGUAAUUGGUUAAAAAAGAAAAAAAAAAAAAA
This is a long non-coding RNA of Herpailurus yagouaroundi (jaguarundi), 332 nucleotides long. RefSeq lists it as uncharacterized. The transcript is spliced from 2 exons. The record is from RefSeq and is a predicted model, not a curated record. NCBI's taxonomy places the organism in Eukaryota, Metazoa, Chordata, Mammalia, Carnivora, Felidae.